This 497-nucleotide ribosomal RNA is filed under the name uncultured bacterium. RNAcentral describes it as "partial 16S ribosomal RNA". It matches the Rfam family "Bacterial small subunit ribosomal RNA", at positions 28 to 507 of the family's 1533-position model. The record is from RNAcentral.
GACGAACGCUGGCGGCGUGCCUAAUACAUGCAAGUUGAGCGCUGAAGGUUGGUACUUGUACCAAAUGGAUGAGCCGCGAACGGGUGAGUAACGCGUGGGGAAUCUGCCUUUGAGCGGGGGACAACAUUUGGAAACGAAUGCUAAUACCGCAUAAAAACUUUAAACACAAGUUUUAAGUUUGAAAGAUGCAAUUGCAUCACUCAAAGAUGAUCCCGCGUUGUAUUAGCUAGGUGGUGAGGUAAAGGCUCACCAAGGCGAGGAUACAUAGCCGACCGGAGAGGGUGGGCGGCCAGAUUGAGACGGAGACACGGCCCAAACGCCUACAGGAGGCAGCAGUAGGGAAUCUUCGGCCAUGGACGAAAGCCUGACCGAGCAACGCCGCGUGAGUGAAGAAGGUUUUCGGAUCGUAAAACUCUGUUGGUAGAGAAGAACGUUGGUGAGAGUGGAAAGCUCAUCAAGUGACGGUAACUACCCAGAAAGGGACGGCUAACUACGUG